GAUGAACGCUGGCGGCGUGCCUAAUACAUGCAAGUCGAGCGAACAGACGAGGAGCUUGCUCCUCUGAAGUUAGCGGCGGACGGGUGAGUAACACGUGGAUAACCUACCUAUAAGACUGGGAUAACUUCGGGAAACCGGAGCUAAUACCGGAUAACAUGUUGAACCGCAUGGUUCAACAGUGAAAGAUGGUCUUGCUGUCACUUAUAGAUGGAUCCGCGCCGCAUUAGCUAGUUGGUAAGGUAACGGCUUACCAAGGCAACGAUGCGUAGCCGACCUGAGAGGGUGAUCGGCCACACUGGAACUGAGACACGGUCCAGACUCCUACGGGAGGCAGCAGUAGGGAAUCUUCCGCAAUGGGCAAAAGCCUGACGGAGCAACGCCGCGUGAGUGAAGAAGGUCUUCGGAUCGUAAAACUCUGUUAUUAGGGAAGAACAAAUGUGUAAGUAACUAUGCACGUCUUGACGGUACCUAAUCGGAAAGCCACGGCUAACUACGUGCCAGCAGCCGCGGUAAUACGUAGGUGGCAAGCGUUAUCCGGAAUUAUUGGGCGUAAAGCGCGCGUAGGCGGUUUUUUAAGUCUGAUGUGAAAGCCCACGGCUCAACCGUGGAGGGUCAUUGGAAACUGGAAAACUUGAGUGCAGAAGAGGAAAGUGGAAUUCCAUGUGUAGCGGUGAAAUGCGCAGAGAUAUGGAGGAACACCAGUGGCGAAGGCGACUUUCUGGUCUGUAACUGACGCUGAUGUGCGAAAGCGUGGGGAUCGAACAGGAUUAGAUACCCUGGUAGUCCACGCCGUAAACGAUGAGUGCUAAGUGUUAGGGGGUUUCCGCCCCUUAGUGCCGCAGCUAACGCAUUAAGCACUCCGCCUGGGGAGUACGACCGCAAGGUUGAAACUCAAAGGAAUUGACGGGGACCCGCACAAGCGGUGGAGCAUGUGGUUUAAUUCGAAGCAACGCGAAGAACCUUACCAAAUCUUGACAUCCUCUGACCCCUCUAGAGAUAGAGUUUUCCCCUUCGGGGGACAGAGUGACAGGUGGUGCAUGGUUGUCGUCAGCUCGUGUCGUGAGAUGUUGGGUUAAGUCCCGCAACGAGCGCAACCCUUAAGCUUAGUUGCCAUCAUUAAGUUGGGCACUCUAAGUUGACUGCCGGUGACAAACCGGAGGAAGGUGGGGAUGACGUCAAAUCAUCAUGCCCCUUAUGAUUUGGGCUACACACGUGCUACAAUGGACAAUACAAAGGGUAGCGAAACCGCGAGGUCAAGCAAAUCCCAUAAAGUUGUUCUCAGUUCGGAUUGUAGUCUGCAACUCGACUACAUAAGGCUGGAAUCGCUAGUAAUCGUAGAUCAGUAUGCUACGGUGAAUACGUUCCCGGGUCUUGUACACACCGCCCGUCACACCACGAGAGUUUGUAACACCCGAAGCCGGUGGAGUAACCUUUUGGAGCUAGCCGUCGAAGGUGGGACAAAUGAUUGGGGUGAAGUCGUAACAAGGUAGCCGCAUCGGAAGG
This 1503-nucleotide ribosomal RNA is filed under the name uncultured bacterium. RNAcentral describes it as "bacterial SSU rRNA". It matches the Rfam family "Bacterial small subunit ribosomal RNA". The record is from RNAcentral.